This 77-nucleotide transfer RNA is filed under the name Rickettsiales bacterium. RNAcentral describes it as "tRNA-Val". It matches the Rfam family "tRNA". Rfam says of the family: Transfer RNA (tRNA) molecules are approximately 80 nucleotides in length. Their secondary structure includes four short double-helical elements and three loops (D, anti-codon, and T loops). Lineage: Bacteria; Pseudomonadati; Pseudomonadota; Alphaproteobacteria; Rickettsiales. The record is from RNAcentral.
GGAUGACUAGCUCAGCCGGUUAGAGCAUCUGCUUUACACGCAGGGGGUCGGGGGUUCGAAUCCCUCGUCAUCCACCA